AGUUGCAGUUGGCGGGUCGAUUUUGCGAGUGGUCUUCAAAACCGUCGUGGCGGCGCUGUCGCCGUGGGUUCAAAUCCCACACCCA
This 85-nucleotide transfer RNA is filed under the name Streptomyces sp. SID8380. RNAcentral describes it as "tRNA-OTHER". Lineage: Bacteria; Bacillati; Actinomycetota; Actinomycetes; Kitasatosporales; Streptomycetaceae. The record is from RNAcentral.